RNAcentral lists this ribosomal RNA (1467 nucleotides) under Limosilactobacillus fermentum. RNAcentral describes it as "bacterial SSU rRNA". It matches the Rfam family "Bacterial small subunit ribosomal RNA". Lineage: Bacteria; Bacillati; Bacillota; Bacilli; Lactobacillales; Lactobacillaceae. The record is from RNAcentral.
GGACUAAUACAUGGCAAGUCGAGCGCGUUGGCCCAAUUGAUUGAUGGUGCUUGCACCUGAUUGAUUUUGGUCGCCAACGAGUGGCGGACGGGUGAGUAACACGUAGGUAACCUGCCCAGAAGCGGGGGACAACAUUUGGAAACAGAUGCUAAUACCGCAUAACAGCGUUGUUCGCAUGAACAACGCUUAAAAGAUGGCUUCUCGCUAUCACUUCUGGAUGGACCUGCGGUGCAUUAGCUUGUUGGUGGGGUAACGGCCUACCAAGGCGAUGAUGCAUAGCCGAGUUGAGAGACUGAUCGGCCACAAUGGGACUGAGACACGGCCCAUACUCCUACGGGAGGCAGCAGUAGGGAAUCUUCCACAAUGGGCGCAAGCCUGAUGGAGCAACACCGCGUGAGUGAAGAAGGGUUUCGGCUCGUAAAGCUCUGUUGUUAAAGAAGAACACGUAUGAGAGUAACUGUUCAUACGUUGACGGUAUUUAACCAGAAAGUCACGGCUAACUACGUGCCAGCAGCCGCGGUAAUACGUAGGUGGCAAGCGUUAUCCGGAUUUAUUGGGCGUAAAGAGAGUGCAGGCGGUUUUCUAAGUCUGAUGUGAAAGCCUUCGGCUUAACCGGAGAAGUGCAUCGGAAACUGGAUAACUUGAGUGCAGAAGAGGGUAGUGGAACUCCAUGUGUAGCGGUGGAAUGCGUAGAUAUAUGGAAGAACACCAGUGGCGAAGGCGGCUACCUGGUCUGCAACUGACGCUGAGACUCGAAAGCAUGGGUAGCGAACAGGAUUAGAUACCCUGGUAGUCCAUGCCGUAAACGAUGAGUGCUAGGUGUUGGAGGGUUUCCGCCCUUCAGUGCCGGAGCUAACGCAUUAAGCACUCCGCCUGGGGAGUACGACCGCAAGGUUGAAACUCAAAGGAAUUGACGGGGGCCCGCACAAGCGGUGGAGCAUGUGGUUUAAUUCGAAGCUACGCGAAGAACCUUACCAGGUCUUGACAUCUUGCGCCAACCCUAGAGAUAGGGCGUUUCCUUCGGGAACGCAAUGACAGGUGGUGCAUGGUCGUCGUCAGCUCGUGUCGUGAGAUGUUGGGUUAAGUCCCGCAACGAGCGCAACCCUUGUUACUAGUUGCCAGCAUUAAGUUGGGCACUCUAGUGAGACUGCCGGUGACAAACCGGAGGAAGGUGGGGACGACGUCAGAUCAUCAUGCCCCUUAUGACCUGGGCUACACACGUGCUACAAUGGACGGUACAACGAGUCGCGAACUCGCGAGGGCAAGCAAAUCUCUUAAAACCGUUCUCAGUUCGGACUGCAGGCUGCAACUCGCCUGCACGAAGUCGGAAUCGCUAGUAAUCGCGGAUCAGCAUGCCGCGGUGAAUACGUUCCCGGGCCUUGUACACACCGCCCGUCACACCAUGAGAGUUUGUAACACCCAAAGUCGGUGGGGUAACCUUUAGGAGCCAGCCGCUAAAGGGGACUU